This 72-nucleotide transfer RNA is filed under the name Stegodyphus mimosarum. It matches the Rfam family "tRNA". Rfam says of the family: Transfer RNA (tRNA) molecules are approximately 80 nucleotides in length. Lineage: Eukaryota; Metazoa; Arthropoda; Arachnida; Araneae; Eresidae. The record is from Rfam by way of RNAcentral.
GCCUUUGUGGUGUAAUGGUCAGCACACUCGAUGCAUAUCCAGUGGUCCGAGGUUCGAGUCCCGGCGAGGGUA